AUUCUUAAGGAGGCAGCCAUGUUUGUUUGGUCAUGUGAUCAAAGUUUUUCUACAUGUAAAACAGUCCAAACAUUAAGUGAGAGGUCCUUUUUGAUAUUGUGAUACUUUAGUUUGAUUGUAAUUUAGUUUUUGUUGUAGACUAUAGUGACUUUGAGGAAAAUUGUGUAACUUUUACUUUUCCCAUAAUGCAUUGCUUCUUGCACAUGGCCUGAUUCUCCAACAAUGUGCUCAGCAGUUUGCUGCGCUGAGGAUGAUUCAAUCCGCCUUUUUCUGCAACCAUCCUAAGAUUAUUUAGCACACCCACUACAGGCCCACGAGAUCUCACGGUGUUCAUCUUUGGAGACAGUUCAUUGUCAACAUUAAAGUCAGACAUGACAGAGACAUCAGUA
Patiria miniata (bat star) is the source of this 389-nucleotide long non-coding RNA. RefSeq lists it as uncharacterized. The record is from RefSeq and is a predicted model, not a curated record. NCBI's taxonomy places the organism in Eukaryota, Metazoa, Echinodermata, Asteroidea, Valvatida, Asterinidae. The transcript is spliced from 2 exons.